This 488-nucleotide ribosomal RNA is filed under the name uncultured bacterium. RNAcentral describes it as "partial 16S ribosomal RNA". It matches the Rfam family "Bacterial small subunit ribosomal RNA", at positions 28 to 507 of the family's 1533-position model. The record is from RNAcentral.
GACGAACGCUGGCGGCGUGCUUAACACAUGCAAGUCGAACGGAAAGGCCCUGCUUUUGUGGGGUGCUCGAGUGGCGAACGGGUGAGUAACACGUGAGUAACAUGCCCUUGACUUUGGGAUAACUUCAGGAAAAUGGGGCUAAUACCGGAUAGGAGCUCCUGCUGCAUGGUGGGGGUUGGAAAGUUUCGGCGGUUGGGGAUGGACUCGCGGCUUAUCAGCUUGUUGGUGGGGUAGUGGCUUACCAAGGCUUUGACGGGUAGCCGGCCUGAGAGGGGGACCGGACACACUGGCACUGAGACACGGGCAAGAGGCAUACGGGAGGGAGCAGUAGGGAAGGUUACGCAAUGGGCGAAGGCCUGACGGAGGAACGCCGCGUGAGUGAUGCAGGUCUUAGGAGAGUAAGCGUGUGUUAUUAGGGAAGAAAAAAUGUGUAAGUAAAUAUGCACGUCUUGAAGGUAGCUAAUCAGAAAGAGACGAGUAGCUACGUG